GACGAACGCUGGCGGCGUGCCUAAUACAUGCAAGUUGAGCGAUGAAGAUUGGUGCUUGCACCAAUUUGAAGAGCAGCGAACGGGUGAGUAACGCGUGGGGAAUCUGCCUUUGAGCGGGGGACAACAUUUGGAAACGAAUGCUAAUACCGCAUAACAACUUUAAACAUAAGUUUUAAGUUUGAAAGAUGCAAUUGCAUCACUCAAAGAUGAUCCCGCGUUGUUUUAGCUAGUUGGUGAGGUAAAGGCUCACCAAGGCGAUGAUACAUAGCCGACCUGAGAGGGUGAUCGGCCACAUUGGGACUGAGACACGGCCCAAACUCCUACGGGAGGCAGCAGUAGGGAAUCUUCGGCAAUGGACGAAAGUCUGACCGAGCAACGCCGCGUGAGUGAAGAAGGUUUUCGGAUCGUAAAACUCUGUUGGUAGAGAAGAACGUUGGUGAGAGUGGAAAGCUCAUCAAGUGACGGUAACUACCCAGAAAGGGACGGCUAACUACGUG
This 497-nucleotide ribosomal RNA is filed under the name uncultured bacterium. RNAcentral describes it as "partial 16S ribosomal RNA". It matches the Rfam family "Bacterial small subunit ribosomal RNA", at positions 28 to 507 of the family's 1533-position model. The record is from RNAcentral.